This 217-nucleotide non-coding RNA is filed under the name Pan troglodytes (chimpanzee). The record is from RNAcentral. Lineage: Eukaryota; Metazoa; Chordata; Mammalia; Primates; Hominidae.
CCUCGUGCAGGUGCCUCCCCUCUCCAAUGAAGCCUCUCCCGUCCGCCCGGCCCAGAAACUGGGCAACUUACUGGUUUCGGCAUUUUCGGUUCCUGGGACACACUGCUGUUUGGGCAACCCUUUGUCAGGGCCUGUUAUCUCCCACUUGCAGAUCCAGGGCAUUUCAGAGGUCAGAGAGAGGAGGGAGGCCUCUUCUGAGAUUUUGACCUCUAUUCAG